GAUGAACGCUGGCGGCGUGCUUAACACAUGCAAGUCGGACGGACACAUCUUUCGGGGUGUGUUAGUGGCAGACGGGUGCGUAACACGUAGGUAACCUGCCUUUCAGUUGGGGAUAACCGAGGGAAACUUUGGCUAAUACCGAAUUCGUGCUUCGAAGGCAUCUUUGGAGCAUAAAAGGGGCCUUUAAAGCCUCGCUGAUUGAUGGACCUGCGGCGCAUUAGUUAGUUGGUGAGAUAACAGCCCACCAAGACGAGGAUGCGUAGCCGACCUGAGAGGGUGAUCGGCCACACUGGAACUGAGACACGGUCCAGACUCCUACGGGAGGCAGCAGUAGGGAGUUUUCGGCAAUGGGGGAAACCCUGACCGAGCAACGCCGCGUGAGUGAUGAAGGUCUUCGGAUUGUAAAGCUCUGUUAUAAGGGAAGAACGGCAGCUAGAGGAAAUGCUAGCUGUUUGACGGUACUUUAUGAGAAAGCCACGGCUAACUACGUG
RNAcentral lists this ribosomal RNA (491 nucleotides) under uncultured bacterium. RNAcentral's name for it is "bacterial SSU rRNA". It matches the Rfam family "Bacterial small subunit ribosomal RNA", at positions 28 to 507 of the family's 1533-position model. The record is from RNAcentral.